RNAcentral lists this ribosomal RNA (834 nucleotides) under uncultured Sphingobacteriia bacterium. RNAcentral's name for it is "bacterial SSU rRNA". It matches the Rfam family "Bacterial small subunit ribosomal RNA", at positions 66 to 899 of the family's 1533-position model. Lineage: Bacteria; Pseudomonadati; Bacteroidota; Sphingobacteriia. The record is from RNAcentral.
GGCAGCAUAGUGUAGCAAUACACUGAUGGCGACCGGCAAACGGGUGCGGAACACGUACGCAAUCUACCUCUUUCAGGGGCAUAGCCUGGAGAAAUCCGGAUUAACUCCCCAUAAGAUAAUGGUGUGGCAUCACACAGUUAUUAAAACUCAGGUGGAAAGAGAUGAGCGUGCGUCCCAUUAGCUAGUUGGUAGGGUAACGGCCUACCAAGGCGACGAUGGGUAGCUGGUGUGAGAGCACGACCAGCCACACGGGCACUGAGACACGGGCCCGACUCCUACGGGAGGCAGCAGUGAGGAAUAUUGGUCAAUGGACGCAAGUCUGAACCAGCCAUGCCGCGUGAAGGAUGAAGGCGUUCUGCGUUGUAAACUUCUUUUAUCUGGGAAGAAACCUACCUUUUCUAAGGUAGCCGACGGUACCAGAGGAAUAAGCACCGGCUAACUCCGUGCCAGCAGCCGCGGUAAUACGGAGGGUGCAAGCGUUAUCCGGAUUCACUGGGUUUAAAGGGUGUGUAGGCGGAUAUUUAAGUCCGAGGUGAAAUCUCUGAGCUCAACUCAGAAACUGCCUUGGAUACUAUUUAUCUUGAAUAUCGUUGAGGCAGGCGGAAUAUGUCAUGUAGCGGUGAAAUGCUUAGAUAUGACAUAGAACACCGAUUGCGAAGGCAGCUUGCUAAACGAUUAUUGACGCUGAGGCACGAAAGCGUGGGGAUCAAACAGGAUUAGAUACCCUGGUAGUCCCGCCCUAAACGAUGAUUACUCGACAUCAGCGAUACACAGUUGGUGUCUGACCGAAAGCAUUAAGUAAUCCACCUGGGAAGUACGACCGCCAGGUUGAAA